AGAGUGAACGCUGGCGGCAGGCCUAACACAUGCAAGUCGAACGGCAGCACAGGGGAGCUUGCUCCCUGGGUGGCGAGUGGCGGACGGGUGAGGACAACGUCGGAAUCUGCCUUUUUGUGGGGGAUAACGUAGGGAAACUUACGCUAAUACCGCAUACGACCCCAGGCCGGGAGGUUUGGGGUGAAAGCGGAGGACCUUCGGGCUUCGCGCAGAAAGAUGAGCCGACGUCGGAUUAGCUAGUUGGUGGGGUAAAGGCCCACCAAGGCGACGAUCCGUAGCUGGUCUGAGAGGAUGAUCUGCCACACUGGAACUGAGACACGGUCCAGACUCCUACGGGAGGCAGCAGUGGGAAUAUUGGACAAGUGGGCGCAAGCCUGAUCCAGCCAUGCCGCGUGUGUGAAGAGGCCUUCGGUAGUAAGCUACGUUUGUUGGGAAGAAAGCACGUACGGUUAAGUACCCGGUGUCGUCGUCGGAACCGGUACCCAAAGUAAUAAACG
This 497-nucleotide ribosomal RNA is filed under the name uncultured soil bacterium. RNAcentral describes it as "bacterial SSU rRNA". It matches the Rfam family "Bacterial small subunit ribosomal RNA", at positions 26 to 493 of the family's 1533-position model. The record is from RNAcentral.